Pan troglodytes (chimpanzee) is the source of this 129-nucleotide long non-coding RNA. RefSeq lists it as uncharacterized. The record is from RefSeq and is a predicted model, not a curated record. The transcript has 2 exons. NCBI's taxonomy places the organism in Eukaryota, Metazoa, Chordata, Mammalia, Primates, Hominidae.
UAGAGACGGGGUUUCACCAUGAUGUCUAGGCUGGUCUCGAACUCCUGACUUCAAGUGAUCCACCAGCCUCAGCCUCCCAAAGUGCUGGGAUUACAGACUCCAAACAAUAAACAGAACCCACAACAUUAA